GCGGCGGUUGCGGAGCGCCGAGAGGGUCUGGGGGCGAGGCGGGCCUGGAGAGGGGAAGGUGACGGCGGCGUCCUCAGUUUGGUACGCCUGCGGCCCGGGCCUUUUCGAGUCAGAAGUCGCCGAAUAUCAGGGAGCCUUGACUCCAAGCUGCCCUGGAGCAUGGGCGAUUUGGGGGCAAUAGCGUGUUUCAGGGUUGCAAUAUCCCCGGUCUAUAAAGCACCCUCCCCCACUCUAACCUGUUUUCUAUUGUUAUUUGAAAUGGUCUGUAUUAUGUGCUGGCAAAAGAAAUUGAUUACACUUUUUUCCUCAUUGCUUUAUGAAUGGAAUAUUUCAUUAUCCUCUGGACUAUACGUGAAACACUACAAACCCUUUCCAGUUUAAGUUCCAGAAGAUUUAUUUCCCUCUAGCUACUGGUUUAUCCCUUGAACAGUAUAUUUUGUACAACCUUACAAAAUAUAUUUUAUCAUUACUGAACAAUUUUGGACUGAGGACUAUACUUAGUUUUGAGAACCGACAAUCAAAAUAUGAACAGAACCAGGACUUAAAUUUGAUUUGAUUUAAAUAAAAUAAAAUCACUUCCCCUAUAUUUAAUCAUUUAUCUGUGUGUAUGGAGAUUUCUGCCCCAUCCAAUACAGAGGCCCAGAUUGGAACUCCAGAAUUGGCUCAAUCUGAUUCAGAUCAUUUGAAUGACCAAAAUCAGCAUGAAAUGUGGAAAAAGAGAAUUCCAUUCUUUAUAAUCUGGCACUGAAAAAGAUAAAUGACUAUACAUUUUAUGUUUUUUUUCAACAGCAAUUUGAGGUCAAGAUGGAAUCUUAGAAUUGUUUCAGAUUUCAUGGAAAACACUGCAGAAUUCUUAAGCUGUUUAAAUAUCCAUAAUCUUUUGAUUUGAGAUAAAAGUAUGAUGACAUUUUCAGCAAUACGAUCCAUGUCAAAUCUCAAAAACGGCAUUCACCACACUGAGGAGUCAGAGAAUGUUGAAUAUUGGGGAAACUUUGGAGUCUUAAAGUGAAAAUAUAAGAGAAUAAUCUAUCUGAGCAUAACAUAAUUAUUUGUUCCGCAUCGUAUCAACUACUUACUGCAUCUCACAAAAUUUCAGCACACCUAUGUUCAGGAUGAAUGACUAGCUGAAGAGAAAAACAAACUAGGGAUUUCUUCCAAAUCUUUCCUCUGGAUCUUUAUAACUGCUAGGAAAUUACCAAAACUCCCCUAGUCACAAUGAUAUGAUUUAUUUGAAAGCAAAAUUACAGAUCACCAAAUCAGAUAUUCUUCUCUUUCCAGCCAUGGAAUUUUAUUUAAGCAACAAAAGACAUGUUGUAUUUCUUCAUGCUGCAAAAAUUAUGA
This is a non-coding RNA of Pseudonaja textilis, 1341 nucleotides long. The record is from RefSeq and is a predicted model, not a curated record. Lineage: Eukaryota; Metazoa; Chordata; Lepidosauria; Squamata; Elapidae.